UGAGGAAUAUUGGUCAAUGGGCGGGAGCCUGAACCAGCCAAGUCGCGUGAGGGAAGACGGUCCUACGGAUUGUAAACCUCUUUUGCCGGGGAGCAACGGGCGCCACGUGUGGUGCUGUGAGCGUACCCGGAGAAAAAGCAUCGGCUAACUCCGUGCCAGCAGCCGCGGUAAUACGGAGGAUGCGAGCGUUAUCCGGAUUUAUUGGGUUUAAAGGGUGCGUAGGCGGCGCCCCAAGUCAGCGGUAAAAAUGCGGUGCUCAACGCCGUACAGCCGUUGAAACUGGGGGGCUCGAGUGCGCCAGGAGCAUGCGGAAUGCGCAGUGUAGCGGUGAAAUGCAUAGAUAUUGCGCAGAACUCCGAUCGCGAAGGCAGCAUGCUAUGGCGGGACUGACGCUGAGGCACGAAAGCGUGGGGAUCGAACAGG
RNAcentral lists this ribosomal RNA (423 nucleotides) under uncultured bacterium. Its description in RNAcentral is "bacterial SSU rRNA". It matches the Rfam family "Bacterial small subunit ribosomal RNA", at positions 355 to 776 of the family's 1533-position model. The record is from RNAcentral.